AGCAUGAUCUGUGGAUUGCCACAGAGUGCUUACCACCUGUGCUGCCACCGACACCUUCACCCUUCUCUGCCCGCUUCAGACUGCUCUUCCCGAUGGCUAGGCUGCCCCCUGCGUUAUCUCUAGGUCUCUGGCCCAGCCCAGAGAUUGUACAUGGAAGGGAGGCAGCACAAAAGAAUAAAAUCUUUGAAUCGGCUGAUGUUCAUCAACAGACAAGCUGAGUGUGGAGAAGGUCUGAUGCCAGAGACUCCUGAAAAGACAUGUGAGCCUCUACUUCAGGACUCAAGAAAAGGAAGCAACAUCUGUACACCAUCUCCAUGAAUACAGAAUUUUUGAACAAAGCUGGGAGUUCACUUAUUUCAAACAAAAUUUAUUUAAACCAGAUCAAAAAGGACAGCAAAAGUUUAAUGUGAUUUGAUCAAUAUCAAGUUAUACUUUUGGCAGAGAUAUUAUGUUGGAUCUCUCCAUAGGGAGCUCUUGGCAAAGAACUGUGAUGUAUUCGUGUCUCUAAUUUUGUUUACCUGCCAUUUUCCCCAUUGGCAAAUAAUCUGUAUAUAUUUUUCAAUGAACUUGCACAAUAAACGCGAGGGGAUAAUAA
This is a long non-coding RNA of Nyctereutes procyonoides (raccoon dog), 595 nucleotides long. RefSeq lists it as uncharacterized. The record is from RefSeq and is a predicted model, not a curated record. The transcript has 2 exons. Lineage: Eukaryota; Metazoa; Chordata; Mammalia; Carnivora; Canidae.